RNAcentral lists this ribosomal RNA (2881 nucleotides) under Xanthomonas sp. A1809. RNAcentral's name for it is "23S ribosomal RNA". It matches the Rfam family "Bacterial large subunit ribosomal RNA". Lineage: Bacteria; Pseudomonadati; Pseudomonadota; Gammaproteobacteria; Lysobacterales; Lysobacteraceae. The record is from RNAcentral.
GGUCAAGCGAAUAAGCGCACACGGUGGAUGCCUAGGCGGUCAGAGGCGAUGAAGGACGUGGUAGCCUGCGAAAAGUGUCGGGGAGCUGGCAACAAGCUUUGAUCCGGCAAUAUCCGAAUGGGGAAACCCACUGCUUCGGCAGUAUCCUGCAGUGAAUUCAUAGCUGCUGGAAGCGAACCCGGUGAACUGAAAUAUCUAAGUAACCGGAGGAAAAGAAAUCAACCGAGAUUCCCUAAGUAGUGACGAGCGAACGGGGAGCAGCCCUUAAGCUGGAAUGGCUUUAGAAAAACAAUCUGGAAAGAUUGGCCAUAGAAGGUGAUAGCCCUGUAUUUAAAAGGGCCACUCCAGUGAAGACGAGUAGGGCGGGGCACGUGAAACCCUGUCUGAAUAUGGGGGGACCAUCCUCCAAGGCUAAAUACUCCUGACCGACCGAUAGUGAACCAGUACCGUGAGGGAAAGGCGAAAAGAACCCCGGAGAGGGGAGUGAAAUAGAUCCUGAAACCGUGUGCGUACAAGCAGUAGGAGCUCGCAAGAGUGACUGCGUACCUUUUGUAUAAUGGGUCAGCGACUUACUGUUCGUGGCAAGCUUAACCGUAUAGGGGAGGCGAAGGGAAACCGAGUCUGAUAAGGGCGCAUAGUCGCGGGCAGUAGACCCGAAACCGGGUGAUCUAGUCAUGGCCAGGGUGAAGGUGCCGUAACAGGUACUGGAGGCCCGAACCCACGUCUGUUGCAAAAGACGGGGAUGAGCUGUGAUUAGGAGUGAAAAGCUAAUCGAACCCGGAGAUAGCUGGUUCUCCUCGAAAGCUAUUUAGGUAGCGCCUCAUAUGUAUCCUCUCGGGGGUAGAGCACUGUUAUGGCUAGGGGGUCAUCGCGACUUACCAAACCAUUGCAAACUCCGAAUACCGAGACGGACUGUAUGGGAGACACACGGCGGGUGCUAACGUCCGUCGUGAAAAGGGAAACAACCCAGACCCACAGCUAAGGUCCCAAAUUCACUGCUAAGUGGAAAACGAUGUGGAAAGGCAUAGACAGCCAGGAGGUUGGCUUAGAAGCAGCCACCCUUUAAAGAAAGCGUAAUAGCUCACUGGUCGAGUCGGUCUGCGCGGAAGAUUUAACGGGGCUAAGCAGUGAACCGAAGCUUGGGGUGCAUAAAACUUGUUUUAUGCGCGGUAGAGGAGCGUUCCGUAAGCCUGCGAAGGUGGAUUGAGAAGUCUGCUGGAGGUAUCGGAAGUGCGAAUGCUGACAUGAGUAACGAUAAUGCGGGUGAAAAGCCCGCACGCCGAAAGCCCAAGGUUUCCUUGCGCAACGUUAAUCGACGCAGGGUUAGUCGGUCCCUAAGGCGAGGGCGAAAGCCGUAGUCGAUGGGAAGCAGGUUAAUAUUCCUGCACCUCGCGUGAGUGCGAUGGAGGGACGGAGAAGGUUAGGUGUACCGGGCGUUGGUUGUCCCGGGGAAAGGCGGUAGGUUUGGGUCUUUGGCAAAUCCGGGAUCCUUUAAGACCGAGCACCGAGACGAGCCUUUAUGGCGAAGUCACUGAUACCACGCUUCCAGGAAAAGCUCCUAAGCUUCAGCUCACGAAGACCGUACCGUAAACCGACACAGGUGGGUAGGAUGAGAAUUCUCAGGCGCUUGAGAGAACUCGGGUGAAGGAACUAGGCAACAUGGCACCGUAACUUCGGGAGAAGGUGCACCCUUUUUGGUGGCUCGUGCGAGCUAUAGCUGAAGAGGGUCGCAGAAACCAGGCCGCUGCGACUGUUUAUCAAAAACACAGCACUCUGCAAACACGAAAGUGGACGUAUAGGGUGUGACGCCUGCCCGGUGCUGGAAGGUUAAUUGAUGGGGUCAGCCGCAAGGCGAAGCUCUUGAUCGAAGCCCCAGUAAACGGCGGCCGUAACUAUAACGGUCCUAAGGUAGCGAAAUUCCUUGUCGGGUAAGUUCCGACCUGCACGAAUGGCGUAACGACAGCGGCGCUGUCUCCACCCGAGACUCAGUGAAAUUGAAAUCGCUGUGAAGAUGCAGCGUUCCCGUGGCAAGACGGAAAGACCCCGUGAACCUUUACUAUAGCUUUACACUGAACGUUGAGUUCGUCUGUGUAGGAUAGGUGGGAGGCUAUGAAACUGUGGCGCUAGCUGCAGUGGAGCCAUCCUUGAAAUACCACCCUGUCGUGCUUGACGUUCUAACCUAGGUCCGUUAUCCGGAUCAGGGACCGUGUAUGGUGGGUAGUUUGACUGGGGCGGUCUCCUCCUAAAGAGUAACGGAGGAGCACGAAGGUACGCUCAGCGCGGUCGGACAUCGCGCACUGUGUGCAAAGGCAUAAGCGUGCUUGACUGCAAGAUCGACGGAUCAAGCAGGUACGAAAGUAGGUCUUAGUGAUCCGGUGGUUCUGUAUGGAAGGGCCAUCGCUCAACGGAUAAAAGGUACUCCGGGGAUAACAGGCUGAUACCGCCCAAGAGUUCAUAUCGACGGCGGUGUUUGGCACCUCGAUGUCGGCUCAUCACAUCCUGGGGCUGUAGUCGGUCCCAAGGGUAUGGCUGUUCGCCAUUUAAAGUGGUACGCGAGCUGGGUUCAGAACGUCGUGAGACAGUUCGGUCCCUAUCUGCCAUGGGCGUUGGAAGUUUGAGAGGGGCUGCUCCUAGUACGAGAGGACCGGAGUGGACGAACCUCUGGUGUUCCGGUUGUCACGCCAGUGGCAUUGCCGGGUAGCUAUGUUCGGAAGCGAUAACCGCUGAAAGCAUCUAAGCGGGAAGCGCGCCUCAAGAUGAGACUUCCCGGGGCACAAGCCCCCUAAAGGAACCAUGUAGACUACGUGGUUGAUAGGUCAGGUGUGUAAGUACAGCAAUGUAUUGAGCUAACUGAUACUAAUGAUCCGUGCGGCUUGACCAU